AUUGAACGCUGGCGGCAUGCUUUACACAUGCAAGUCGAACGGCAGCGCGGACUACGUCCUGGCGGUGAGUAGCGAACGGGUGCGUAAUGCAACGGAACGGGCACCGGCGUGGGGGAUAGCGCGGCGAAAGCGGGAUUGAAACCGCAAACGCAUUGCGGGGGAAAGCGAAGGAGCGGGAGCCCUCGCCCUAUUGCCACGGGCGAUGUCGGAUUAGCUAGUUGGUGGGGUAAAGGCUUACCAAGGCGACGAUCCGUAGCUGGUCUGAGAGGAUGACCAGCCACACUGGAACUGAGACACGGUCCAGACUCCUACGGGAGGCAGCAGUGGGGAAUUUUGGACAAUGGGCGCAAGCCUGAUGCAGCCAUGCCGCGUGUGUGAAGAAGGCCUUCGGGUUGUAAACCGCUUUUGUUCGGGAAGAAGGCCGCUGAGCUAAUACCCCGGGGGGAUGACGGUACCGGAAGAAGAAGCACCGGCUAACUCCGUG
Molecule: ribosomal RNA, 484 nt
Filed under: uncultured bacterium
Lineage: Bacteria
Description: partial 16S ribosomal RNA
Rfam family: Bacterial small subunit ribosomal RNA
Source: RNAcentral